UACGUAGGGAGCAAGCGUUGUCCGGAAUCAUUGGGCGUAAAGCGCGUGUAGGCGGCUUGGUAAGUCUGCUCUGAAAGCCCGGGGCUCAACCCCGGGAGGCGGGUGGAUACUGCCGAGCUCGAGUCCGGAAGAGGCGAGUGGAAUUCCUGGUGUAGCGGUGAAAUGCGCAGAUAUCAGGAGGAACACCGGUGGCGAAGGCGGAUCUCUGGGCUUACCUGACGCUGAGGCGCGAAAGCUAGGGGAGCGAACAGG
This 252-nucleotide ribosomal RNA is filed under the name uncultured bacterium. RNAcentral describes it as "partial 16S ribosomal RNA". It matches the Rfam family "Bacterial small subunit ribosomal RNA", at positions 524 to 776 of the family's 1533-position model. The record is from RNAcentral.